Esox lucius (northern pike) is the source of this 981-nucleotide long non-coding RNA. Lineage: Eukaryota; Metazoa; Chordata; Actinopteri; Esociformes; Esocidae. The record is from Ensembl.
CGCUGGGAGAUUUUUUGUGAUUCGCUAGCUCUCGUUGGAAAUGAAUGAGAAAGUGCGUGUAUGAAGUGGCCAAUCGUUAUUCUACCCUAAACAGGUCAACGAAUCAUCAUUAUCCGUUUUUGGUUAGGGAAACUGACAGAUUUCCGAAUGUGUCGUUCCCCGUUCUUCACUUGGAAAACGAGCAUAGUAAACGUAAACGUAGGCGGGGAAAUGGGAGGGGCGGUCGAACGGGGUGCGUUCAUUUAUGUUUCAUGCAGGGCAGCACUUUACCUGGCCAAGUUAACCUCUCCCUGAGCUCGAAUUUCCGAAGAGCCAACGUAUGGACAGAUUCCUAGCAGGAUUACUGGCUAUACAGUCAGUCUACCUUCCUUUCCUAGCUCCAGAUGACCCAUGUUAUGCUGUGGGAGUCCUAUACCAUACCCCCUCCUUCACUGCGAGAACACCCCUUAAACACCUCCUGGGACAUGCUGCUCCCCAUGAAUGAACCAGGAGUAACAGCAACAACAUUCAAAUCCAAAAAGCAGGGCAAAUACCAGUUCUAUUGAAAACAUUGGAAGUAUUUGCCAGGAAUAUACAUGUCAUCUGACAACUCCUGACGAAACUGCUCAACUGAGGUCACUUUUCCCCACAGAAACCUUACCCUGGGCAAGUUUAAACAGAGCCUCUUUAGUCCAACUGAAAAAUUCCAAUAAUGUCUUCAUCUUGUAAAACAUUUGUAAAACUUCAUCUUGUAACUCUUUUGACAAAAGGUUGUCCUAUGUUACAAUGUUAGAUAAUUAAGGCAAUUUUCUUUGGUCUUCAAAUGUAUUAGUUUACUGUUACUAUGCAUGGGUUGGGAAAAGCCUCAGACAGUCAAUGUCUUGUUGAUGUUCUCAGCGUUACUAUAAAACUUUUUAGCACCUCCUCGUUGAGUCAAUCGAAACAUCUCUGCAUCUUUCCCACUUUCCUUUUUCCGAAGAUGACACAAUGUGUUUACACCAG